GCAUGUCGAACGAAGCACUUGUGCUUAGUGGCGAAUGGGUGAGUAACACGUACUUAAUCUGCCCUCAAGUUUGGGACAACAGUUGGAAACGACUGCUAAUACCGAAUAUGUACUACUAGCAUGGUAGUUUUAUAAAAGGAGCGUUUGCUUCGCUAGAGGAUGAGAGUGCGUCGCAUUAGUUAGUUGGUAGGGUAAAGGCCUACCAAGACGAUGAUGCGUAGCGGGGUCGAGAGGCUGAAC
RNAcentral lists this ribosomal RNA (240 nucleotides) under uncultured bacterium. RNAcentral's name for it is "partial 16S ribosomal RNA". It matches the Rfam family "Bacterial small subunit ribosomal RNA", at positions 57 to 305 of the family's 1533-position model. The record is from RNAcentral.